UACGUAGGGUGCGAGCGUUAAUCGGAAUUACUGGGCGUAAAGCGUGCGCAGGCGGUUUUAUAAGCCAGAUGUGAAAUCCCCGGGCUUAACCUGGGAACUGCAUUUGGAACUGUAAGACUAGAGUACGGCAGAGGGGGGUAGAAUUCCACGUGUAGCAGUGAAAUGCGUAGAUAUGUGGAGGAAUACCGAUGGCGAAGGCAGCCCCCUGGGAUAACACUGACGCUCAUGCACGAAAGCGUGGGGAGCAAACAGG
RNAcentral lists this ribosomal RNA (253 nucleotides) under uncultured bacterium. Its description in RNAcentral is "partial 16S ribosomal RNA". It matches the Rfam family "Bacterial small subunit ribosomal RNA", at positions 524 to 776 of the family's 1533-position model. The record is from RNAcentral.